RNAcentral lists this ribosomal RNA (370 nucleotides) under uncultured organism. RNAcentral's name for it is "bacterial SSU rRNA". It matches the Rfam family "Bacterial small subunit ribosomal RNA", at positions 526 to 896 of the family's 1533-position model. The record is from RNAcentral.
CAGAGGUCCCAAGCGUUGUUCGGAUUCACUGGGCGUAAAGGGUGCGUAGGUGGUCGGGUAAGUCUGAUGUGAAAUCUCCGAGCUCAACUCGGAAAUGGCAUUGGAUACUAUUCGGCUGGAGGGUUGGAGGGGGGACUGGAAUACUUGGUGUAGCAGUGAAAUGCGUAGAUAUCAAGUGGAACACCAGUGGCGAAGGCGAGUCCCUGGACAACUCCUGACACUGAGGCACGAAAGCUAGGGGGAGCAAACAGGAUUAGAUACCCUGGUAGUCCUAGCUGUAAACGGUGCAUAUUUGCUGUAAAAGGAUCGACCCCUUUGUGGCGUAGCAAACGCGUAAAUAUGCCGCCUGGGAAGUACGGUCGCAAGAUUA